GGCAAAGCGGGGGGGCAGGGUCUGCCCUCCCCAUAUGGCUCCCGCCUCCGACACACACACACACAAAGCCCCCCGGUGGAAGAUUGGCAGGCCGGGAGAAGGGGAAAGACAACGACGACGACACGGGAAGGGAACGGAGGCGCAGCGGCGCGGCUUCUUCCGAGGCGCUCUCCUCUCCCCUCUCCCGCCCGCCCGUUUUCCUUCCUGCCGUCUUCGUUCCCUUCAGACACACUCAUACACACACACACUUCUCGUCUUUCUGUUCCUCCCGCCGGCGCGGCACUGACCUUGGCGUCUCCAUUGCAAACAGCCAUAGAGCCGGCCGGAGAAACGCAGGAGGAGGAGACUGGGUGAGAAGGAACGCGCUCCGUCAGUCCGCAGCCACCGCUGAGAAGCAACCCGGAACGAGGCAGGCAGGAAAGAAUGAAGCUGCCGCGGACGAGCCGCUGCCACUUGCUAAAUACCGCUGCUGCUGCUGCUGCUGGCUGGCCUGCCUCCGCGGCCGAGAUGAGCUAAUCCUGCCGCCCGCCCCACCAGUACGCGCCGCCCGCGAGGAGGAGCCGGAUCCCCGCGGCCCGCCUUCUUCGGGGACGGGCGGGAGAAGCAGCAGCGAGAGGCAGCGACUCGCGUAGCCCGCCUAUUGACGGCCGACUAAGGCGCCAGGAGGCCGCCGGAUGGGUUGCUGCCAAGGCGGGGUCAGAGAGGAAGGAUGGGGGGCGAGGGUAAGCGAGCAAGAGGUUCAAGGGCACAUGCCAGCCAUGCAAAGGUAUUCAAGGAGGGCCUGGGAAGAGGAUGUGUGGCUAGAGAGAGAAGUUCCGAGGCUGGACAGAAAGGCCUGGAAGGCUGCAUUUGGGCCUUAGCCCUGGCACAUAGGAUUGUAGCUAGACCUACCAGUAGAUCUCGGUCUUAUCUUCUGCUGCCCACCCCUGAGCUACACGCUGUCUUCCUGAAGUUCCAGGGGCAACUUUCAGAGAAUGCUUUAAAAUAAAAACACCUAUACUAGAGGCAGGAUAGUAGGAUUCCGUGACCAAUCAUGGACUACUAAUCUGCUCCCACUCUUACUUCCAAUAUAUACAUUUUGGCUAGAAAACUGCAUUGCAAAAUUCAGAGAAGUGCAAAUUUUGAAGGAUGGCUGUGUUUUGGUUCUAGAAUUGUUUGGGAAAGUCCAAAUUAGGUAGGUUCACUUUUACAUGCAAACUGAAUCAAAUCUCUCCCCCAUCCCUACUUCCCACCAGUCUCCUUGGAGUCUUAUCACCCCUUCCUAAGCCUCUCCUUUCCACUCCCUAAAACUUUUGAGUCUUUUGCCCAGUAGUGGCUGUUAUGAUAGGGCAGAAUGAAUGAGCUACCCUCUUGACACUGGUAUUGCUUCAGCUCACCUGGAUGGGGCUGGUGUGGACCAGGGUGGGGGUGAGGCUGGGGAUGUGCUGAUGCUGCAGUGGAGCCAAUCAGAUGCUUCCUCCAGUGUGACUGCAGAGCCCCCGCCCUUGCUGCUGCCCUAUCCUGCCCCAUCCAGGUGCAGUGACACCAGUAUCAGAAGGGCAGCUCUGUGGCUCUGCCCCACCACGGGCAGCAGCUCCCAGUUGGGUGUUCAUUCUUGCACCAUUGGAUCAUGUCCCUCUUUUGCUGGUUUUUGAAUGUAACCUAGAGGAAGGAUAGGUAACCUUUCCACCUCCUCUGAAGCUGAACUGCACAGCCCACAACCCUGCUUCCUCCUUAAACAACAGUUCAUCUGUUAAUUGUUUCUUUUAAUAUAUUAUUUCAGUAAUAUAUUAUUCAGUAAUAUAUUAUUUCCCUAUUUUUGGAAAUCAUAUCUCCAUUGCUUUCCUGAGUACCUUAUAUUUUUGCUCUGCUACCUAGUCUAAACAAUCUAAAGUUACCCAGACUUGGCUUUUUUAUCUUUUAGUUUCUGGGCGAGCUCAACCGGACAGACAGCAGCCUGUUCUCUGGCAGAAUAGAGCAAGGGUUGCAGUGGGAAAUGGUUUCUUUAGUAUACAUCUAAGCUAAAUUCUCUCUCAGUCAUUCAUAUUCUGAAAGAGCUUAUUCCCUGAACACGGAUAAGUAGUCUGCUGCAGAUGUGUUUAGAGACAUGUUAUGAAGAUGCGGAAAUGUAGUAAUGCCAGUGUCACAGAGUGCAUUUUGUAGGAUGGGACAAGACUGUAGCUCGGUGUGGAACACAUGAUUUGCAUCCUGAAGAUCCCAGCUAUAUUCCCCAGCAUCUCAUUUUAAAACGGAGGUGGGGAACCUUUUUGAUCAAAGGGCCACAUUCCCUUGUGGAGAACUUCUGGAGGCCACUUCCCAACAAUGAUUCAUCAGUGAAUCCAAAAGACCACAUACCCAUCUCAUUCAUUCACACACACAGGGAACCCUAAAGGAUUGCUUCAUCCCCUACAUACCCAACGAAUCACUGUGUACUGCUGGAGACAGAAUACGCAGAUACCAUCCUGUCAGGAAGUCUGUUCUGCAUGAUGUGGAAAUUGGACCUUUAGUGCGGUGGCACCCACCCUUUGGAACUCCUUCCCACUGCAUAUCAGACAGGCGCCUCCUGUAUUUUUUUUUCAGUGUCUGCUAAAGAUCUUUAUGUGUCUUGGAUUUGCAUUGAUUUUAUGCAUGUGCUUUUGUUGUUUUAAACUCUUUUUAUACUUAUCAUUGGUUUUUAAAUUGCUUAUAUAUAUACAGUUGAUUUUACUGUUUUUAUAUACUUAAUUGUUUUAUAUGUGCUAUUGUAAAUCAUUUUGAGUUAUGAGCAGCAAUUCAUAACUGCAAGAAACAACAACAGCCCUGGAAAACUACUGCCAGUUAGAGAGCAGUCAGUAACAGCCUGGAUGGAGUGUCAGUCUGACCCAAUAUAAAGCAGCAUCAUUCAUUCAUAUGGUACUAGAUGUUGCAGAAGGAGAGGGUGGGAACAAUCCUACAAUGUUUAGUUCCCAUCUGAGACUCAUACCCAAGCCAAAUGUCUGUCAAAGGAGGUCAUUUUCCCACAUUUUCCAAAAAAAAAAGGUCUCAUGUCUUGGAAUAUUUAUUAUUUUCCUUGGAUUGGAAGAUCUGUCAAAUUGUUUCUUAUUAUGCAUGCAGAAAUGUGUCGCAUUUUAUGAGAGGGACAGCUGCAUAACAGGACAAUCUCUCGUAAGCUGCAUGUCAAUUCUUGCUCAUGCUACAAACUAGAAAGAGAAGCCAAAAACAGAGAGAUUAGCAAAAGAAAAAUGAAAAGGGAACAAUGAAACAGGCACUUGCUUUAUAUUUGCAUUACACACACACACACACACACACACACACACACACACACAUUUUUAUGCCUAUUAUAUGAACUGAGUUUAGCACCUAGUCAAAACAUAUUUAGAAAGAUAAAUGAGGCAAACGGAUGAAUUUAAAUAAUUCCUUUCUUUUAAAAAGUAAAGCUGUUUAUGACACUAGUGUUCUGUAAUUAAUCUCCUGUCAUCCACAAGAGAUGGGUCACUAUGCAAGCUUCUUCAUUUAUUGUCUAAGAUUGACUUUGUGUUAAUGUUUACAAAGGUAUCUCUAAUGAGAAUAGCCAGGUUGCAACAUUCUCUUUCUCUCUGUCAUACUCCAUUGUGACUCCAGCCCCUUUCUUCCCAGAGCUUGGAAAAGUUACUUUUUUGAACUACAGCUCCCAUCAGCCCCAGUCAGCAUGGCCACUGGAUUGGGCUGAUGGGAGCUGUAGUUCAAAAAAGUAACUUUUCCAUGCUCUGUUUCUUCCACUGCAUUGUCAAUGCAAGAGCUGAUGAAGGUUCAGAGGAAGGGGCGAUAUGUUGCUUUACAAUAUUUUGGCAUCAGUUAAAGAUCUUAUUCUUUAUGGGAGCUUCUGGUCUGUCUCUUGAUGAAAAUUGAAAUUAUUAGCAGCUUUCCAUUGCCUUAUCUGCUUUCUUUUACACAUUAUAAUAUUAUCCAUAAGAACAGCCCUCCUAGAUCAGACCAAAGGCCCAUCUAGUCCAGCAUCCUGUUCUCACAGUGGCCAACCAGAUGCCUAUGGAAACCCCACAAGAAGGACUUAAGCACAAAAGGACUUUCCCCUCCUGUGGUUUCCAGCAACUGGUAUUGAGGCAUCUUACCUCUGAUAGUAGAGAGAGAACACUGGUGUGUGUGGGGGGGAGCCCCUUCCAGAUUGUUACUAUUUUCAGGCGGGAUUCAGUCACGUACUGACAAAUUCAGGUUGCACAAAUAAAACUGAUUUGGAGCUCUUGCGCAGCAAACCCACUUCCCCAAAAGAUCAGACCUUUUGUGAUAAGGAAAGUGAGAGGAAAAUACAGUGGAAAAUGUGGGAUAAACCUUGCUUUGAUUCAACAUUAUAUAGUCUCCCUGCAAACACAUUAAAGUGCUUAUU
Molecule: long non-coding RNA, 4339 nt
Organism: Rhineura floridana
Lineage: Eukaryota; Metazoa; Chordata; Lepidosauria; Squamata; Rhineuridae
Exons: 3
Source: RefSeq, a predicted model, not a curated record